Molecule: ribosomal RNA, 369 nt
Filed under: Wolbachia endosymbiont of Culex gelidus
Lineage: Bacteria; Pseudomonadati; Pseudomonadota; Alphaproteobacteria; Rickettsiales; Anaplasmataceae
Description: bacterial SSU rRNA
Rfam family: Bacterial small subunit ribosomal RNA
Source: RNAcentral
GCAUGGCUGUCGUCAGCUCGUGUCGUGAGAUGUUGGGUUAAGUCCCGCAACGAGCGCAACCCUCAUCCUUAGUUGCUAUCAGGUAAUGCUGAGUACUUUAAGGAAACUGCCAGUGAUAAGCUGGAGGAAGGUGGGGAUGAUGUCAAGUCAUCAUGGCCUUUAUGGAGUGGGCUACACACGUGCUACAAUGGUGUCUACAAUGGGCUGCAAGGUGCGCAAGCCUAAGCUAAUCCCUAAAAGACAUCUCAGUUCGGAUUGUACUCUGCAACUCGAGUACAUGAAGUUGGAAUCGCUAGUAAUCGUGGAUCAGCAUGCCACGGUGAAUACGUUCUCGGGUCUUGUACACACUGCCCGUCACGCCAUGGGAAU